AUACCCCUGCCUUUUCAAUUCCCGUCCCCGCGUUACUUCCCCGAGUCUUCUUGCCUUGUGAUCUGCAACAUCCACUCGCCCCGCCCGCUAGCCCAUUGCUCUGCGCGACCGCCCUCACACACUACAAUGGCCUACGAGACGUUUACCACCACUACCCAUUGCUUACUAGACACAUACCCGGUUGGCAGUUAAGUUUAAGCCUUCAAGGAAGUUUACAAUGUUCCCAGUGCUUCCGCAUCACAACUAUGCUGAGGUUGCUGCAGCACCAACUGCCACAUAUUCGCCAGAGAAUGGUCUCUCCAGCAACACUGCGGUACGUUUACAAAAUAUUUUGUCGUAACCUCAUUUGUCAUGUUCUGAGCCAAUUAGUCUAUCUUGAUUUGCAUCAGGAAUAUUGUAAUUAUUGAUAGUAAUGCUGUCUUUUUUGGUAGCUGCACUGAUUAGUAGGUCAUUAGAAAGCCUAAGAAGUUAUUUACUUGAUUCUGGGAACUUCCUUGUUGAGAUGGUACAUUGUAUGUACAAACUAUGGCAUGUAGAAGAUGCUAUUCAGCGAAAUUAGAUUGCAUAGACUCUUCUUCUGUUACAGACUUAUGUAUGCGAGGAAAUACUUGCUACUAUAGGAGGACUUGACGUCCAAUUUCUAUAUUUAUCUCUCUGGUUAAUUUUGUUGGAUUUGCUUAUCUACGAUGAUAUACAGUGAUGGGUGUAUUAUAAUUAUUAGUGCUGCAAAUAACCUGAACUUUUUGUCAGGCAGAUAUGGGUAAAAUGUUCCGAUCUAAGCCUUGCUCCCUAGCUCUAGCCUCAAGACUCUCCAUUGAGAAUAAAGGAGCCACAUUAAGGUGGUGUUUGGUUUCAUAGUAGGAUUUUAGAAUUGUGAUUUUGAUUUUGAUUUUGAGUGGUAUAAAUGGGGCCCACCCUUUGACUUUGUAAGAGUUAUGUUGUUUUGUUGUGGGAAAAAGUAAUAUAAAUGGGAUCCACUCUUUGACUUUGUAUGAGUUAUUUUGUUUUGUAGUGGGUAGAAUUAAGUUAGAAUUGUGAUUCUAAAAUACAACACUGAAACCAAACAGAGCCUAAAGGCAUUCGGCAUUUUAUUCUAAAGCUGAUGCUCUUUUAUAGUAAGCAAAGCACAUCUAUUAGAGUAGCAAAUGUUGUUUACAGGCGAAUCCUUUCACAAGUUGAUAAGCCCCCUAUUUAUGAAGAUGGACUUGGAGAAGAUAUUCUACGGAAAUAUUGUUGCUUAUGAUAAUGCCAUGCUUCCUGAUGGCAAGCGAGAUGAACUAGUGAACCCAAUUUGGAGGAACAUUUUUACUGACGAUGGCUCAUCCACGCCGACUAAAUGAAUGACGUUCUGCUAGUUUCUUUGAUUAAAUGAAUGAUCGAAUGAUAUUAAAUUGUCUUCCAUUAAUCUGGUACGGAUCUCAGAUGUCACUCAUUAUUGAAGGCAAAUGGCCAGGGAUGCUCGUCGAGAAUCGUUUUGCCUCUCCUUAACAGGGAACUUCAUUUUCACCUUCAUGAAGAGUCCGACAGAUCCCAUGAAAAAUUAACGGAUGAGUCCAGAAAAGUUGGGAUCAUCAUAUCACAGAAAGCGUCCGAGAUGUCAUUCAGCAUCAUCCAGCAGCUUAUUCUAGUUUUAAGCUCCUUCAGCAUCUCACUCGGUACAGUUGUUCUAAUGUCUCCUAGUUGUUUCGAAAAUAAAUUAUUGAUGGUUGAGUAGAGGAUAAAAACUUUUAUUUAUUUAGAAUUAUAAUGAUUGUGUCGUUGAAUUAUGGAAAAAAAAGUAAG
Non-coding RNA from Punica granatum (pomegranate), 1782 nucleotides. NCBI's taxonomy places the organism in Eukaryota, Viridiplantae, Streptophyta, Magnoliopsida, Myrtales, Lythraceae. The record is from RefSeq and is a predicted model, not a curated record.